RNAcentral lists this ribosomal RNA (207 nucleotides) under uncultured bacterium. RNAcentral describes it as "partial 16S ribosomal RNA". It matches the Rfam family "Bacterial small subunit ribosomal RNA", at positions 568 to 774 of the family's 1533-position model. The record is from RNAcentral.
GGCGUAGGUGGCUUUUCAAGUCAGGUGUAAAAUCUCCCCGCUCAACGGGGAGGGAUCAUCCGAUACUGUUAAGCUUGAGUGCAGCAGAGGGAAGCGGAAUUCCCGGUGUAGCGGUGAAAUGCGUAGAUAUCGGGAAGAACACCAGUGGCGAAGGCGGCUUCCUGGGCUGUUUCUGACACUGAGGCCCGAAAGCGUGGGGAGCGAACA